UCUGGGAGGACCAUCUCCUAAGGCUAAAUACUCUCUAGUGACCGAUAGUGAACCAGUACCGUGAGGGAAAGGUGAAAAGUACCCCGGAAGGGGAGUGAAAGAGAACUUGAAACCGUGUGCUUACAAGUAGUCAGAGCCCGUUAAUGGGUGAUGGCGUGCCUUUUGUAGAAUGAACCGGCGAGUUACGAUCUGAUGCAAGGUUAAGCAGCAAAUGUGGAGCCGCAGCGAAAGCGAGUCUGAAUAGGGCGUUGAGUAUUUGGUCGUAGACCCGAAACCAGGUGAUCUACCCUUGGUCAGGUUGAAGUUCAGGUAACACUGAAUGGAGGACCGAACCGACUUACGUUGAAAAGUGAGCGGAUGAACUGAGGGUAGCGGAGAAAUUCCAAUCGAACUUGGAGAUAGCUGGUUCUCUCCGAAAUAGCUUUAGGGCUAGCCUCAAGUGAUGAUUAUUGGAGGUAGAGCACUGUUUGGACGAGGGGCCCCUCUCGGGUUACCGAAUUCAGACAAACUCCGAAUGCCAAUUAAUUUAACUUGGGAGUCAGAACAUGGGUGAUAAGGUCCGUGUUCGAAAGGGAAACAGCCCAGACCACCAGCUAAGGUCCCAAAAUAUAUGUUAAGUGGAAAAGGAUGUGGCGUUGCCCAGACAACUAGGAUGUUGGCUUAGAAGCAGCCAUCAUUUAAAGAGUGCGUAAUAGCUCACUAGUCGAGUGACACUGCGCCGAAAAUGUACCGGGGCUAAACAUAUUACCGAAGCUGUGGAUUGUCCUUUGGACAAUGGUAGGAGAGCGUUCUAAGGGCGUCGAAGCAUGAUCGCAAGGACAUGUGGAGCGCUUAGAAGUGAGAAUGCCGGUGUGAGUAGCGAAAGACGGGUGAGAAUCCCGUCCACCGAUUGACUAAGGUUUCCAGAGGAAGGCUCGUCCGCUCUGGGUUAGUCGGGUCCUAAGCUGAGGCCGACAGGCGUAGGCGAUGGAUAACAGGUUGAUAUUCCUGUACCACCUAGUAUCGUUUUAAUCGAUGGGGGGACGCAG
This 1028-nucleotide ribosomal RNA is filed under the name Staphylococcus epidermidis. Its description in RNAcentral is "partial 23S ribosomal RNA". It matches the Rfam family "Bacterial large subunit ribosomal RNA", at positions 443 to 1477 of the family's 2925-position model. The record is from RNAcentral. Lineage: Bacteria; Bacillati; Bacillota; Bacilli; Caryophanales; Staphylococcaceae.